Molecule: long non-coding RNA, 419 nt
Filed under: Ovis aries (sheep)
Lineage: Eukaryota; Metazoa; Chordata; Mammalia; Artiodactyla; Bovidae
Description: lncRNA (ENSOARG00000025621.1)
Source: RNAcentral
AUGUUACUCUAUAAUGAUUCCUUUCUUCACUUAACUUUCUUCCUUUUCCUAAGAUCAAAAACAUCUAGUUCCAAGAAGCACUUAUCUUUAGCAGAGAAACAACUAUUGCCAUCUAAUGGUAGCAAUGCAAACUGCAAUUGGUUAUUUCUUGAAGAAGCAUCUGCAACUUUUACAGCACAUUGGACUACGCAAAAACGGUAUCAGUGUAAUAUGCAAAUAACACUAAAAUAGAUUUAGUAGUGAUAAAUAGGGGGACCUAUAUUAAUAUCAGUAAUGCACUUUUAUGUAAUUACUAGACUUGGAAAAACCUUAUGCCUCAUCUUAACUGACAUUAAACAGUUCUAAUAAAUGUUUUCUUUUUUUUUUCUAAUAAAUGUUUUCAUGUUGCUACUUUUAUUAAGACAAAAGCAUAAUAUAAC